This is an RNA transcript of Diprion similis, 1408 nucleotides long. It is a transcript of the gene named homeobox protein goosecoid-like, with no coding region annotated. The record is from RefSeq and is a predicted model, not a curated record. The transcript has 4 exons. NCBI's taxonomy places the organism in Eukaryota, Metazoa, Arthropoda, Insecta, Hymenoptera, Diprionidae.
GAUCAAAUUUGCUCGACUUUAAGGUGAAAGUGAUCCAACUCUGCACCGACGCGACGGAUGCUGAAAUCUGUGCAAACCACCGACGUGAAUAGAUAUAGAGAGUUGGCAAGCCGGAAAAUAAUUCGAGACAAACGUCGAGGCGAUUGCUUUGAGUGCGAAUAUCAUACACGGGGCAAUCCGUUCGUCGAAGCGAAUGUUGCGUCCUACUUCCGGUGAAUUGGAUCCCCUGAAGGACCUCGGAAAGACAAUUGAGGAAGUUUCACGAUCUGGCAAAUCGUGCGGAGUCACCUCGGAGGAAAUAAUAUUUGGAACAUGGUAGAAAGCAGCUUCGCCGGCGACUCCCCAAAAUCAAGAUCCUCGAUGACCGAACCUUCCAGCCCUGUUCAGGACGGACCAGGACUUUCUGGGUACAGUCACGCCUACUUGUACGGCUACGGGGCCGACACCUUGCAGCAAAAAAUCAAGUCCGAAUCCCAGAUAAUCCAGUCGUCAAGAGAUCAUGUGGAUCUCGAUCGCGAACGCGUAUUUUCCAGGAGCAUUCACAGCCCUGCGAGUCCUGAUCAAUUGAAUUACCGUCCGUCCGUGUCCAGGCCCAGCUCUUCUUCGGCUACCAUGUCUUCGCCCACGUCCAUAUUCACCAUCGACAGUAUCCUCGCCCCUCGUACAGGUGGUAACGUCACCCCGACGAGCUCCGGAAGUUUGUCCACCGUGUCGAAUGCCGAACCAAUUAACUCGCCGCCGAGGACAGCCACGAUGCAUCCGCUUCAGCAGCAGCUCCAUCACUUGGCGUUCACGUCUGCAGAUUUUCUAGCUGCCGCCUAUCCGGGACUCUAUCCUGGCGGUUACGUUGCUGCGAUGGCAGCGGCUGGUGUUUCGCUCCACGGACAACCGGCUUUUUAUCACGCGACGCACCCUUAUCACAUGAGUCCAGGAGUUCCGGGGGCUGGACCGAUGACCAAGAGGAAACGGCGCCAUCGUACGAUAUUCACCGAAGAACAAUUGGAGCAGUUGGAAGCCACCUUUGACAAGACUCAUUACCCCGAUGUCUUGCUCAGAGAGCAGUUGGCCCUCCAGGUCGAUUUGAAGGAAGAGCGCAUCGAAAAAUGAUGAAGCGAGUAAAUAUGACAUAAUACUGCCGCAGAUAAGAAAACCCUGACUUCACUGUGAAAUUUCGCACCUAGGGAGUCCUGGAAAAUCCUAAUCUGCUUUUACUGCCUAAAACUUUGAACAGACCGUACACAGUGAAAAGGCGCAUUCAUUUAUUUGGGAAAAGUGUGGUUCAAAAACAGACGGGCCAAGUGGCGUAAGCAAAAAAGAGAAGAACAGGAAAGGCUUCGUAAGCUGCAGCUCGAACAACGGCAACGUACCGACGACGCUGUCGUCAUGUCGCCAAUAAGAGUCGCGAAUC